UAGUCAUGCUUCUCUGGAGAGACAGAACCAACAGGAUGUAUCAUGUGAUAAUGGAAGCUGAGAAGUCACAUGAUAGGCAGGCCGUCUGCAAGCCGGAGGACCAAGGAAACCGGUAGCAGCAUGCGGUGGCCGGCUGUCGCCUUCUCGCUGGCAUUGUCACGCUUCAUUAGGAUUGCUUUUGUUGCUACGCGGAGGUUUCCACUGUUGCUAGCUGUUGGCUCCUCGCGUGAGCAAAGAGGGAUUGUUCAAUGUUUCCCCGUAACAAGCCGGGAGAGGCUGCUGAGUCGCUUCUGGUUUUGAGGAGAAGAACCAGAGACAGACAGACAGACACAGAGACACACAGAAAGUGCGGGAGACGGAGGCAGAGAGAGAAAGAGAGGGACGGGGACACACAGAGACGUAAGGAGAAAGGCAGCCGGGCAAAGACACAGAAACAGACCUAAAGCGACAAAGAGAUUUGAGAACAGAUACCCGCACACAACACACAGAGUGACAGUCACAGAUGGACAUACCCACACAUGCAUGGAGAGAAGAAACACGUCGCAAAGACACACACACACACACACACACACACACAUGCACACACAGAGACAGAGAGAUCCCCUAACACACAGACCGAAAGAGAAAACACACUGAGAUGCAGAUUGACACGGGAGAGAGAGACAGGACAGUGACAAAGCGACAAAGGGGGACGCAGAGGAAGACACAGGCACUGAACGAUUAAAUGGUGCCGGCGUGAAGGUCUGUGUCGCCGUGGUGUCGCAGGAGGCCCUGGUGUCAGCGUAACAGUGACGAGAACUGACAUUACUGAGUGCCCACCCCGUGCCCGGCGCAGUUGAUGGGAGCAACUCACAGCGUCCCCGGGACCCAGACACUAUUAGCGUCCAGUGCUCCGGGUGGGAACGGCGAAGCUUGGAACUGAACAACGCGUGCACGGUCACACCGCCGGCAAAAGGCGGGGUGACGUUUUAGACUCGGGUUCCCCUGCCUCUGAAGCCCAAGUUCCCAAGCCCCACACUCCAAUGCUUCCCGGAAGACCUGCACUCGGGUGUCGGCUCUGCUACGCAGCGGCCAGCUGGACGGCCUUCUUGGGCCAGCAGCCCGGCGUGGGGCCGCAAUGUGGCCGCCUGAGAUGUUCCAGGGGCCGGCGUGCGCCCAGCCUCUCUCCGUCCCAGCCGGGGCCGUCCUACGCCCCCCACUCUCCACGGGGCAGGCUCCACACGGUCAGGAACCUUGCUGCCACUGUCCCCCAUUCUCUUUGCGGGACUCGAUUAGGACGCCAAGUUGCAGGUUGCCUGUGAACAGAGAAAGAGGUGAGAAGUUCGUUUCUGGGAAGGAAUGCGUUUACCUUGGGGGGAAGAGGGCAGUAAGGCGUCAGGGAAGAUGGGACAGCCCCAGCUUGGGCUAAGAUUCGCGAACAAGGGCACCUUGGAGCCCACGACAGGUGGGACACUCUAUCUGUCCCCGGCGAGGGCUGCCACAGGGUGGGGUAGACAGGGUGUUAAAGAGGAGGGAUGUGGCUUGCUGCCUGCUCCGUGUUCAUUGAUGUGUGAUGUGUCGCUGUCUCAUGUACGAUAUCUCUCACGUAUUCGUCCAAUCUGUCUGUCUGUCUCUCUAGACUGUAAGCCUCAUGAAGGCAGAGAUUUUUGUCUGUUUUUUUUUUUUCUUUCCCACUACUGAAUCUUCAGGGUCUGGUAUAUAGUAGAUGCUUAAUAAAUGUUUACUGAAGGAAUGAACGCAAGUCUGUAUCUCUCUUGAUUCUCAGACCAUGCAUAUUAAAACCAGAAUUUUCUCCUCCCUGGCCGAGGCGGUGGGGGAUCGUGCAGAAGCUGGAGGUCCUUCUCGGUUUCUUUCAAGAAUAACACUCCAGAAGGCUCGGUGGGUUUUGAGCAGCAGUGUUCAAUUCGUGUUUCGGAAGGACGGCUCUGAUGGUGGCGUGGGUGGG
Non-coding RNA from Microcebus murinus (gray mouse lemur), 1945 nucleotides. The record is from RefSeq and is a predicted model, not a curated record. Lineage: Eukaryota; Metazoa; Chordata; Mammalia; Primates; Cheirogaleidae.